GAGUUUGAUCCUGGCUCAGGACGAACGCUGGCGGCGUGCUUAACACAUGCAAGUCGAACAGGAUAUACUUUGGAAGGCUUCGGCCGGAAGGGGUGUAUUCGAGUGGCGGACGGGUGAGAACGCGUGAACAAUCUGUCCCAGACAGGGGGAUAACACUUGGAAACAGGUGCUAAUACCCAUAAGACCACGGGAUCGCAUGUUCCCGAGGUAAAAGGAGCAAUCCGGUUUGGGGUGAGUCGCGUCCGAUUAGAUAGUUGGUGAGGUAACGGCCCACCAAGUCGACGAUCGGUAGCCGCCUGAGAGGGUGAUCGGCCACAUUGGAACUGAGAGACGGUCCAAACUCCUACGGGAGGCGCAGUGGGGAAUAUUGGGCAAUGGGCGAAAGCCUGACCCAGCAACGCCGCGUGAGUGAAAAGGCUUUCGGGUUGUAAAGCUCUGUUAUAGGGGACGAAGGAAGUGACGGUACCCUAUAGGAAGCCCCGGCUAACUACGUGCCAGCAGCCGCGGUAAUACGUAGGGGGCGAGCGUUGUCGGAAUGACUGGGCGUAAAGGGCGUGUAGGCGGCUAUUUAAGUCUGGAGUGAAAGUCCUCUUUCAAGGUGGGAAUUGCUUUGGAGACUGGAUGGCUUGAGUGCGGAAGAGGUAAGUGGAUUCCCAGUGUAGCGGUGAAAUGCGUAGAGAUUGGGAGGAACACCAGUGGCGAAGGCGAUUACUGGGCCGUAACUGACGCUGAGGCGCGAAAGCGUGGGGGAGCGAACAGGAUUAGAUCCCUGGUAGUCCACGCGGUAAACGAUGAAUGCUAGUGUUGCGGGUAUCGACCCCUGCAGGCCGGAGUAAACACAAUAAGCAUUCCGCCUGGGGAGUACGGCCGCAAGGUUGAAACU
Molecule: ribosomal RNA, 883 nt
Filed under: uncultured bacterium
Lineage: Bacteria
Description: bacterial SSU rRNA
Rfam family: Bacterial small subunit ribosomal RNA
Source: RNAcentral